CUCCUGGAAACGGGUGGUAAUGCCGGAUGCUCCGCCCCCUCGCAUGGGGGGUCGGGAAGGCUUUUGCGGAAUGGGAUGGGGUCGCGUCCUAUCAGCUUGUUGGCGGGGCGACGGCCCACCAAGGCUUCGACGGGUAGCCGGCCUGAGAGGGCGACCGGCCACAUUGGGACUGAGAUACGGCCCAGACUCCUACGGGAGGCAGCAGUGGGGAAUAUUGCACAAUGGGGGGAACCCUGAUGCAGCGACGCCGCGUGCGGGAUGGAGGCCUUCGGGUCGUGAACCGCUUUUGAUUGGGAGCAAGCGUGAGUGAGUGUACCUUUCGAAUAAGCACCGGCUAACUACGUGCCAGCAGCCGCGGUAAUACGUAGGGUGCAAGCGUUGUCCGGAAUCAUUGGGCGUAAAGGGCUCGUAGGCGGUUCGUCGCGUCCGGUGUGAAAGCCCAUCGCUUAACGGUGGGGUCUGCGCCGGGGUACGGGCGGGCUUGAGUGCGGCAGGGGAGGCUGGAAUUCCCGGUGUAACGGUGGAAUGUGUAGAUAUCGGGAAGAACACC
RNAcentral lists this ribosomal RNA (550 nucleotides) under uncultured Bifidobacterium sp. Its description in RNAcentral is "bacterial SSU rRNA". It matches the Rfam family "Bacterial small subunit ribosomal RNA", at positions 147 to 710 of the family's 1533-position model. Lineage: Bacteria; Bacillati; Actinomycetota; Actinomycetes; Bifidobacteriales; Bifidobacteriaceae. The record is from RNAcentral.